Non-coding RNA from Pseudonaja textilis, 272 nucleotides. NCBI's taxonomy places the organism in Eukaryota, Metazoa, Chordata, Lepidosauria, Squamata, Elapidae. The record is from RefSeq and is a predicted model, not a curated record.
UGAUGGACAUUGUUUAUUUUUUUUAUGGGCCAACAAUACCUCUAACAGAAUUGUGGACGCAUUUGCCGUAUCUUCUGUAGAAAUGGAACUGUCUUUGAACAGCAAUCUAGCCCUACCCUUUGUUGAGAGAUCAAGGUUGUCCACCCAAAGGUAAAAGGAAGGAUUUAUCUCCAUCCAGGUGCAUUUAAAAGACGAAAAGGGUGCUAAAGGUCAAGAUGGUAGCCAUCACCACAGUGUUUUUUACAUCUUUAUUUACACCUAUUACAUGUGGA